Molecule: long non-coding RNA, 134 nt
Organism: Nanorana parkeri
Lineage: Eukaryota; Metazoa; Chordata; Amphibia; Anura; Dicroglossidae
Exons: 3
Source: RefSeq, a predicted model, not a curated record
UGGCAAGUUGGAGUUUGUUCCAUCCUGCACCUCCUACCUGCGGGGUCUUUGCACACAUACUGGCAGACAUACGGGCAGCACUUCUGUUUCCCCUUACAGUCCCGGUCAUAGGUACAUUUUAGUUUGUCCCCCAC